CAAUCAUUGAGGCAAAGGGCAGGGGAGCAGAUUUUCUGCUACACGAGUAAAUUUUCAUGGCAGUUUUGCAAUGCAGCAUUGUGUAUAUAAAUAGCAAGUUAAACUUGUACAUGGUUCAUGCACGGUAAGUACCAUACCAAGAUAUUUAGUCUCUUUCUGAACCAGGAAGACAUUUCUCUCUCAUCAUUUUACCAAGUGCGAAAGUGAAAAAUGCCUGAGACUUACAGCUUACUGAAUCUUGAUUACAAAGAAAUGCCCAUAACACAUUACAGGUUACUUUUGAAUUAAUAUGAGUAGUCAUUAACAGACAGGCACAGAAUAUAAUGAAAAUUCCAUUGUCUGAUCACUCUAAAUGCAUCUGACAUUGUGUUUAUCGUUCUGUUUAGUUGUGUCCUUGUAAAGUAUGACGUAGAAUAUCUCUGUUAGCCUUUUACCUCAAAUUGCCUUUAAGAGCAAGGCAUGCACUUCAGUAAAACGAGGUUUUCAGCAUUAUUUAUGCCCGAUAUAUGCCUGGUAUCAAAGGCACCUUUAAAAAUAUGAUAGGCUUCUUUCCCCCAACACCUGAGGAAACCACAUAACGCUUUCUCACAAAUGCCGCAUUAACCCAACUGUGGCUGCGGUUGUACACAACUGCCCAUUUCCUAAUGCAUCAUUUUUUCUGCCACCAGAACCAGGUGCUCCAGAGGACAGUGGCUAUACCGUUUGGUCCGUGCGCAGUGGGACUCGAGAAACACUGACAUAGUUGAAGACCCCAGACCCCUCUUCCCCAUAAGGAAAAUACUGUCAAGAUCCGGGACAUUCCUCAGCCUAAGCCAAGCAGUCCAGAUCCACUCAUCUGCACCCCCUGCCAGCAGCUGCCUGUGACCAGCUCACCCCGAGGACACUGGUCACGCUCGUGGUCUGAGCCUCAGAGGAGCGCAAUAGCAAUGCUGGGCUCAAAUUCCAAUGGCAGUGAAGGACACUUGGCCAGACUUGUUCAGAAACAGAUAUUCUUGGGCAGAGAUUUCCUGCAAGAAUCGGAACCUCUCCACGUGGCCCCAUCUAGCAAUCCUGUGUUACACACCAUGGCCAGCAGGGGAACAUGGUGCUGGUGGCCUUCCCCCUCUUCAAAACCUUACGCACAGCUCACCAGCCAUCCUGCUCCAAGAGUCAGGACCAGCCAUGCAGUUUGUUUUAUUUCACAAUAAAUAUUUAUACAGCAC
RNAcentral lists this long non-coding RNA (1202 nucleotides) under Gallus gallus (chicken). Its description in RNAcentral is "long non-coding RNA NONGGAT006826". The record is from RNAcentral. Lineage: Eukaryota; Metazoa; Chordata; Aves; Galliformes; Phasianidae.